GCUGGUGUUUGUAGUUUCAGCAGAUCCGACAGGAACUCCAUUCGACUCCAGUGUGUUAGUUACAGGUCAUCCAGCUGUGACCGAUCACACACAGAUGGCUGGUUCAGUCACUGAACAGUACAACCCAUCUGGUCAGGGUCCUGAAGGUGCAGAAAAUGUGGAAUUGGAGGAUACCUGCUGACUUCCACAUAAAGCCGCAAGUUCGGUUCCUGCGCUAUCGCUUCCAGUGUACCGACCAAUCAGCAUGGCCCAGGAAAUCACCCCCCUCCCACUAGCUGCAGGCCAUGCCCACUGAGCGUCAGCAGCUCAUUGGUGUUUUUUUAAAUAUUUAAAACGUGGAAUUCUGUUUAUAGACGUUUAUUUUGUUUAAGAGAAAAAUAAGUAAAAAUAAGAUUUCAGUUAGGUUUUCAUAAGUUUCUGUUUGACUUGAUGUGAUGUCAGCU
Anoplopoma fimbria (sablefish) is the source of this 443-nucleotide long non-coding RNA. RefSeq lists it as uncharacterized. The record is from RefSeq and is a predicted model, not a curated record. The transcript is spliced from 4 exons. NCBI's taxonomy places the organism in Eukaryota, Metazoa, Chordata, Actinopteri, Perciformes, Anoplopomatidae.